CACGGGGGGAGCAAGCGUUGUUCGGAAUCACUGGGCGUAAAGGGCGUGUAGGCGGUCAGGUAAGUGGGACGUGAAAUCCCUCGGCUCACCCGAGGACCUGCGUCCCAUACUGCUUGGCUUGAGUAUGGGAGAGGAUGAGGGAAUUCCUGGUGUAGCGGUGAAAUGCGUAGAUAUCAGGAGGAACACCGGUGGCGAAGGCGCUCAUCUGGCCCAACACCGACGCUGAGGCGCGAAAGCCAGGGGAGCAAACGGG
This 253-nucleotide ribosomal RNA is filed under the name uncultured bacterium. RNAcentral's name for it is "partial 16S ribosomal RNA". It matches the Rfam family "Bacterial small subunit ribosomal RNA", at positions 524 to 776 of the family's 1533-position model. The record is from RNAcentral.